This 571-nucleotide non-coding RNA is filed under the name Pongo abelii (Sumatran orangutan). Lineage: Eukaryota; Metazoa; Chordata; Mammalia; Primates; Hominidae. The record is from RNAcentral.
CGGCCUCCCAAAGUGCUGGGAUUACAGGUGGAGACUGGACCUCAGAGAGGGAGUGGGUGCCCUGAGAACUCACAGCUGGCGGACAGCGGAAAGGGCAGAACCCGGACCAAGGUGAGGACAGCGGAACUGAAGUUCUGCUGGUUACCUCUCCUGCCCUCCGCUGGCCGCACUGGAGAAGACAGCCCCUCCCUCCUGCUCUGACCUGACAGUGUUCAUCCAUCGCCCUCUAUUAGGGAAGAACAACAUCAAGCUGGCUAGCAAGGAACUGUAUACAGGGUCCAGCUGGGUAUCACACUGGAUCUCACCCAAAGCUGAGAUGUGAUCCAGCUCAGUAUCACAAAGCAGAACGAAAAGGAUGUGUUCGGGCUGAGAGGCAAUACAUUGAUGGAGUCUCGCUCUGUCGCCCAGGCUGGAGUCCAGUGGCGCGAUCUCGGUUCACUGCAAGCUCUGCCUCCCGGGUUCAUGCCAUUCUCCUGCCUCAGCCUCCCGAGUAGCUGGGACUACAGGCGCCCGCCACCACGCCUGGCUAUUUUUUUUUUUGAGAUGGAGUCUCACUCUGUUACCCAGGCUG